UGGUCCUUGACGGCACCAACUGCGCCCUUCUUCCUCCAGUCGACGGACUCGGGCAGCUCGUCGUUGUCGGCGGCCUGGUACCUGGCGCUGAGCUUCCGCUCCCGGUCGGGCUUAGUGCGGGCGCCGAGGUAGGUGCUGCGGUACUCCUCGUUGGUGAGGUCGGCGAAGCGGUUGAGGCCGAGGCGGAAGGAGUGGACCCCGGCGUCGGCGGCGGCGUUGUGCUGGUCGAUGUAGCGGAGGUUGUCCCGGAACGCCUCGAAGCGGCGCUCCUCCUCGCCGAUGGCGUUGUACGUACUGCCGUGCUCCGCCAUCCACUCGGCGUACAUCCGCCGGACCUCCUCCUCGCUCCGCUCCCCGUAGGACACGAUCGACAUGUCCGCCGCCGCCGCCAGCGACACCAUCAGCAGCAGCGCCGCCGAGGCCGCCAGCAGAGCCAUGGAGGUCCUCAUCCCCGAGACCAGAGGUGCGUCACCGAGCAGGAAGAGAGGGGUAGCAGAUGGGAUGGAUUGGGUAGCAGCCGUGCUUUUCUUCUCCAUGGACGAUGGUAUCGGAGGUCGCUUUAUAGGAA
RNAcentral lists this long non-coding RNA (568 nucleotides) under Hordeum vulgare. RNAcentral's name for it is "long non-coding RNA (HVUL_LNC005807)". Lineage: Eukaryota; Viridiplantae; Streptophyta; Magnoliopsida; Poales; Poaceae. The record is from RNAcentral.